Long non-coding RNA from Macadamia integrifolia, 1394 nucleotides. RefSeq lists it as uncharacterized. The transcript is spliced from 2 exons. Lineage: Eukaryota; Viridiplantae; Streptophyta; Magnoliopsida; Proteales; Proteaceae. The record is from RefSeq and is a predicted model, not a curated record.
UGUUGAUCGAUUUAUUUUUGGCAGUGAGAGAGAGAGAGUGUGUGUAUGGAAGAACAGAGAAAAAUCAUAAGAACAGAGAACAUUGAAAAAUCAGGAAAAAAAAUUAGAUGGAAUAAGAGAGAAAAAUAAAAAAAAUAACUUAGCUCUACUUCUGCCGGUGAUGAAAUGAGCAGCAGUCGUCGGCGACGGACGAAACAAUACUCGACUGGGACUGAUGGAGCUAAACUUGGCUGAGACGGUUUCAGAUGAACUCACAGGCAUGGAGAGAAGGACAGAAGGAGAAAAGGGGAGAAUGAAAUGGGAGAGCCGGUGAGAUAGAGGGGUAUUUUUGAGAUAAUGAAAAUGGGUUAUGUAAUAGUCUUUUACUCACAAGGGUUAAAGAGUCAUUUCAUAACAUCAUCUAACAGAAACUGAUGGCAGGGGGUUUGAACGUAAUUUGACAUUUAACAAGAGGUGUUCUUAUAAUAUUGACAUUUUUUAGGGGGUGGCGCUGUAAAUUACCCAAUAAAAAAUGUACCAUAUACGUACAAAGUCGGCAUGGUAUCAAUAUUGAAAUGUAGGCAUUUUUUUUUAUGUGAUACGAGUAUCGAAAUCGUAUCGAAUACCGUACCGGCAUUGCCUCAGGUAGGUUUCACUCCACAACUUGGUAAAAUGCCCAAAACCAGCUGGAGGAUUUCCAAACAGGCCUGUUGGGCUGGGAUCACAGGCUUAUUUCAGGUCCAACCAGGAUGGGUUUUAAGCAAAUAAAUCAAGGCCUUUCCUAGGUCUUGCCCGGGGUCUAGCCCAUGCCCUAAAUCUAUUCCGGCACAGAUUGUGUUUAUGAUUUCUUAGUUGAGGAGGCUUCUGUAAUUUCCCAGAUGACUAAGUUACCAUUUUAGCCCUUCGGAGGGGUAUCAUAUGGAUUAGGGUUUCCCGUUCGUUCCCCUCCUAAAACCCUGACCUCUAUAAAUACCCAUAGACGGUUUAGCCGUCAAAUUUGCGACACGCGAACACUGAAACAAAUCGGCGAAGGUACCAGAGGCCGAGGGCGAAGAUGAGAGCCAAGUGGAAGAAGAAGCGCAUGAGGAGACUCAAGAGAAAGCGCCGAAAGAUGAGGCAGAGAUCCAAGUAGAUUGGAGCAGUGGCACAUAAUAGACACAAAGAUGGUUCGUUUUAUGCAAUUCCUUUCCUCCUGAUAUGGCCUUCGUGAUGGAGGAUGGAGUAGUGAAAGACGGGUCAUUGUUGGGUCUAUAUUCCUUCUUUUCUCUGUUUUGCAGUUUAAAACUGAGUAGGCUAUAGCCUUUAAUACCGAGUAUAGACAUGUAUUGAGUGGUUCCUUCUUUCAGUAAGUUGUUUCGGUGUAUCUGGAUUCGUCAACUGGGUAAUGGAAUUUGUGUUUUGAGAUUUUUGUUUCA